AGGAUGCGGAUACUUUGCAGGAGUGAGGGGACAUCAUUAUGAAGCAUGAGAAGGUAGAGGGCAGUCUGCUCCCUGGAGGGAGGCCUCCUCCAGUGCACCCUGGGACACCAAGCUGGGCUGCCAGCAGACAUGGGGCCUGUGCCUGUUGGAAUCUACAGCAGUGCUGAUUGCUUUGGGAUUCUGCAUGAGACGGAGCUGCCCCCUGUCACUACCUGGAAGGUGAAGCAAAUGUGGCAGGAGAUGAGAUGAAAGAGCAAGUGGAUGGAAAUGCUGGGAGAAUGGGAGACAUAUCAGAACAGCAAAAAACUGAUUGAGUGAGUGUAUAAAGGCAUUCCCAUUAAUGUCCAGGGCCAACUGUGGUCAGGCCCCCUGAACAUUCAGGAAAGCAAGGCAAAAAAUCCCAGAAAAUACCAGGUCAUGAAGGAGAAGGGCAAGAGGUCCUCUGGACACAUCCACCAGAUCGACCUGGACAUGAGCCGGACAUUAAGGAACCACCUGUUCUUCAGGGACCGAUAUGGAGUCAAAUCUCUCUUGGGCUCACCCUGCACCUGUGGGACAUGUAUUUGCUGGAAGGGGAACAGGCAUUGAUGCCGAUAACAAGCAUUGCCUUUAAGGUUCAGAGGACGCCUCAUGAAGACGUCCAGGUCUGGCCUGUGGGCACCUUUUCGAGACCAGUUAUUUCAUACCUGAGCCAUGGACAAUGAUCCUGUUCUGAAACACCUUCGGGCCUCUAUGAAGAAACUAACAAGGAAGCAUGGGGACCUGCCACCCCCAGGAAGCCUUCAGCCUCUCUGAACCCUGGGGGGCAGUCCCAGGAGCCACCUGCCAUGCCCCGACAUCUUCCCCACCCCAGGCAGCACACACCCCUCUUUCUGGGAUCAGCAGACUACAGGUGUGUCCUCAGUGUCAGAUCACGGGGACCACACGGAGACUCCGAGGACU
RNAcentral lists this long non-coding RNA (942 nucleotides) under Homo sapiens (human). Its description in RNAcentral is "non-protein coding lnc-NOS2-7:2". The record is from RNAcentral. Lineage: Eukaryota; Metazoa; Chordata; Mammalia; Primates; Hominidae.